Long non-coding RNA from Gasterosteus aculeatus aculeatus (three-spined stickleback), 11822 nucleotides. The record is from Ensembl. NCBI's taxonomy places the organism in Eukaryota, Metazoa, Chordata, Actinopteri, Perciformes, Gasterosteidae.
GAGACGGGGAGGGGAGGGGGGGUUGACUAAAGCUGGCCAGAGGUUUGGACGGGAUGCUGGGAGUGAGGGAGGGAGGAAGCAGGGGGAGAAAGGAGAGGAUUUCAGCAGCACUAAAUGAGUGAUGAAAGGGGAGAUUUAAGGAGGAAAUGGGGGGUUUAAGAGGACGCCAUGAGGUGAAGUGGACCGGGUGAGGAAGAGAUGUGAGAAGGAAUGAAACGCAGGGUAAUGCGAUGGCAAAGAGGGCAGGAAAGGAGCGCGACGGUGUGGGACGGAAAAAGGGCCGAGGAGGAGGGGCCAAAGGUCGGCGGAGGCGGGGAGAAUGCCGCCAGCGCUUCGAGCUCGGGGAAAAAAAACGCGAAGGUGACGGAGAAAAGACGAUGACUCCGAACAAAGAGAAAAUAGAAACAGCGCGAGGACGUGGGAGAUCUUAACAGGAGGCGCAGAUCGAGGGCAGAUAGGAAAGCGGAGAAAAGACGUAGCGAUAAAGCGCCCUGUGAGCGAGCGGGAGGAGGGCAGAAGGCCGGCGAAGGAGCGAGACGGAGGUGAAGACAGGUUAGCCACUUACGAGAUACGAGGAGCGACACAGAGAGGUCACAGGCAGCGUUUACCGCCGCCGCUCAUCUCACUUCUCCGUCGCAAACAAAGAUCCAAUUCUCUUUUUUUCAGGCCACACCAGGGCGAUAACACCAGGGCGAUACCACCAGGGAUAUAACACCAGGGCGAUACCACCAGGGAUAUAACACCAGGGCGAUACCACUAGGGCCAUAACACCAGGGCAAUACCACCAGGGCGAUACCACCAGGGCGAUACCACCAGGGCAAUAACACCAGGGCGAUACCACCAGGGCCAUAACACCAGGGCCAUAACACCAGGGCGAUACCACCAGGGCGAUAACACCAGGGCGAUACCACCAGGGCGAUACCACCAGGGCCAUAACACCAGGGCCAUAACACCAGGGCGAUAACACCAGGGCCAUAACACCAGGGCGAUACCACCAGGGCCAUAACACCAGGGCGAUACCACCAGGGCCAUAACACCAGGGCCAUAACACCAGGGCCAUACCACCAGGGCCAUAACACCAGGGCCAUACCACCAGGGCCAUACCACCAGGGUGAUAACACCAGGGCGAUACUACCAGGGCGAUAACACCAGGGCGAUACCACCUGGGCCAUAACACCAGGGCGAUAACACCAGGGCCAUAACACCAGGGCGAUAACACCAGGGCGAUAACACCAGGGCCAUAACACCAGGGCUCACGUUUGACAAAUACAGACUGUGAAAGGCGUGGGGGGGUUGGGGGGGGAACCAUGACAACCGUGAGUGGAAACACAGGGAUUCACUGAAGCGAGCCUGCAUGUGUGCAGAGUUCAGCAGUUCAUAACGGACACAUCUGCAUCACAGGUGACCUUUCAAAGCCGGAUUGUGUGACUUUAAUAUCUCUUUUUUACCCCCCCCCCCUCUCACUAUCACACACACACACACAUACGCUGUUCCACUUCCACCUCUUUUCUAUAACAAGAGGCAAUUACCUCUCAUCUCCUCACACAUACCUAGAGCCUCCUAACUGUCGACACCCCCUCGCCGUUUCCCUUAGAAGCUGACAGGGAGGUUCUGAUGGUGAUUUGGCAGCGUGUCAUCGCGGGUAAUGGCGUUUGGAGUUGCCGCCUUCAUUGGGCUACUUAUUAACGCGUUUGAUCUACGCGCACCCUCCUUAGCACUCUUCUCCUCUUUUCCCACCGCGGAGAUCUUUGACAGGCGUAGAAAUGAGGCGGAAGGCUCUGAGAGACUUUUCAAUCUCUCCUGGGAGGGAAUUGGAGCACAGGGGUGGGUGGGCUGCUGGAGAAUGGACACAAUCUCACACACUUCACCAGGUUUUCAGAAGUUUAAUAUUUCAGCUCCCCCUAUUGAGGCCUUCUGCUGCUGCGGAGCUUCUCGGCGGCUUCAGACGUGCCGGUGCGGACACCUUCCAAAUGAAUGAGACAUUUCUGGGAUGAAGUGGGGAAUCCUUCCCUCCAGAGAAACAUGGGGGGGGAUUCGAGGCCCAGUCGGUGCUGACUCUUGACUAGAUGCAUAGAUUGUUUGGGGGGGAGGAAAGAACGGCUGGUUGAGAGGAGUAGAAGGGGUGAGGAGGGGGGGGUGAGAGGGGGGGUUUAGAUGUGUUAACCCAUCACGCCGUAAUGAAUGUGUGCCAUCUGUCUCUGCAGCUCUAUUAAAAACUUCCAUAGAGGAUCCGAGAUCACGUCCCACGCGCGCGCACACGCGCACGCAGGCACAGCACGUGUAAUUGCGGCGGCGUGGGGCGUCACCUCUAACAUCCCCAAUCAAAGAACGCGCGCGCACUGGCGCAUGGUCGCGCGCUGCUCCCGGGGACCCGCGCGCGGAUCAGUGUAACGUGAAUUACACUGCGCGAGGACCCGCAUCGGCGUAUGUGGCGGUGCGUUCGUUGCGUUGAGCUGAUGAAGUUGUGAGGGCGGCGUGAGGAAGGGUGGGCGGAACGUCGCACGCGCGCACUUUUAAUUAACUGCGUCCUCCCGUGAUGACAAGGUACUAACAAGACCAACUGCACUCAAUCAUGCCGCAGGAGUGUUUGCUGUGUGUGUGUGUGUGUGUGUGUGUGCGUGUGCGUGUGUUGAUGCACGGCGCCUCCGCCCCUUCUCGCUCAGCGCCAGUGUGUCGAGAAUUAGUGGAGACUCAUAAUUGCAUGAAAACUAAUUUGGUCUCUGAGAAACCCUUGUUAAUGCCUCGCGAUUUUAUUGUCUCGUCCUCUGUGGCCGUAAAUGAUGUGAAUUACUGUUCUUCUUGCCUAUAAGUACGCAAAGAAUUAGGCUUCCGUGGAUGAUAGAUCCAGUUGGAAUAACGGCGCCUUGCAUUAAAGUCUAUAUCUUCAUGCCACGAGAAGCUCCCACACACGUCUCACAACAGGACGCUGAUUUGAUGAUUAACAAUGUAAUUCCUGUCACGUCCUUUUUAUGUAUUUAUUUUAAACGUGUCUGGUGGAGAACUGUGAGGUGAUUAUCCCGAUAUCUUCUUUCAGGACAAUUUGAGUACCAAACUAUGAAAUGAUUACUCGCCCAAUAGAAAAGUGGAUUCCGCAGCAUGCAUUAUGGACACAGAAACCUUCCCUCGCUCAGUGUAUCUGUCCAUGAGAUCGCUUUGGUUUUAUAGCCACGGUUUGAGGCCUUUAUCUGAUCUGCAGUCUGCUUCCUACAGAUGGAGAUGAAGUAAAUGUGGUUUCUGAAAAAUGUACGUCCAGAAAAUGCAGCAGCGCCUGCGUCGGCUGUGCACUGCACAUUUUAUUCUAUUUUACCUUUUUUAAUGUUUCUAUCUUUUUAUUUAUUUUUUUUAAAUGUUUUAAUCAAUGUCCUUUUACUGUUUUAAAUCUCCCUGCUUCACGCUUGCAUGUUUUAAUGGUUCUAUGUGCAGCACCAUGAAUUGCCUUGUGUUGAAAUGUGCUAAAUAAAAUGGCUUUGCCUAUUAAUUAUGUUACGUUGUAGAUUGUGCGCGACAGCCUUUCCAGUGUGACAGUAUGCAUGAUCUGUGUGCCUGAAUGCAACAGAGCCUUAAAUAGUGUUAUUAAUUGCACCUGUUUCCCUGCAACGACGUGUCAAAUUAAUGCUGCGGAAAGGUGCUAUUACACGAGCUUUAGCUUUCCUUUAGUAGCAACCUGUCAAUGUCAGAUCACAUUUGAAAAUGGACACGCCCCCUUCUUACCUGCCUGAUCUUUAACCUUUAAUUCCACAAAAUACAGGAGUCCUGUCUGUUCCAGGAUUGAGAAAGAACUCAGCGGGCCAACAUCAGACUUUCUUACCACACCCCGUUGUUAUGAAGAGCCCCUGGACAUCAGACCGCUUUCUGUAUAACUAUAUACUAUAAAUACUGCUUUCAAUCAUCUACUUUCUGCAGGAAAUCCAUCUUCAAGUUAAAGUUAAUCCAUGAGAUUGCAUAUAGCUUUUAUAAAGCCAUUGAUGCCCAUUCAUUUCACCCCAUAGUUAACAUUCCUCUCAUGGCGGCUGUCUCCCCCUUUCCCCAAACACUCCAGCUCCCGUUUUCCAUAAGACUUCUCCCUGCGUCAGAAGGUCCCUCAGGGGUCCCAAAAGCCAACGCGUGUCAGCACAGUGUUGCUCAAGAUGCUAAGCUACACUGGAGCUGUUGUAACUUGAUGUCUGAGUGUGAGUACGUGUGUGCGUGUGUCAGCGUAAUAGAGGAAGACCAAAAAAAGGAGGAAUCGAGAAGAAGUUAUGAGAAAAAUCGAAGGCAAACAUUAUUACGCCAAGUCACGUUGAAUACAUUAUAAUAUAAAUUAGGAAUGUGCAAAGAGUUGAUAUUUGGCAUCCAUAUGCUCUGACAUCAUCGACGCAUUAUGCUCAUCACAGCGGAUAAUUGGUCCCUGACAUGCAUAUUAGAUUCACAUAUUUGCUUAGAGACGACAGCGUGACAAGAUAAUGAUGACCAUUGCGGGACAUGGGUGAAAGCUUAAUGUAUAUAAUUGGGGCUGAGUGUAAAACUGGAGCUCAGCACUUUGAAUGUAAAAAGUUGCUACACUUUGGAGGAAACAUCCGACAUGAAGGCACGAAAAGAUAAACCUAUAUUAAACAAAUGUGAUCAGGAUCCAAAUACAUGAGUUCACCGUCCAUGAAAGAAGUCAACGAGAAGCGAAUGAGGCUCAAACAACUGGUUUCAACAACUUAUUAGAAGAUGAGAACAAUAUGAUGUCAUGUAUUUUUUGGGGUGACAUCAACUUUAACAUUUAAACCUGCAAAACAAGUAGGUUUAAUCAAUUAAUUUUUUAAUUGAAGCACUUCAGAACAACCCAUUUCAAAAGCUUUCUGUCUUGUCCUUUAUUCUUUAAUGCAUCUCUUAAUCCUCUUGAAACAAGAGAGCAUUUAUUUAUUAAUAUGUCAUAUAUUAUGUGUGAUUUCUCCAGUUCAAUUUGAAAAGAGACAAUAAAUAUUGCUGGUGACUACAUAGAGACUUUAAUACAACGGUUAGGCUACUUCAAUGUUCAUGGAAAUAAAUGAGACAUUCUGAUGUUUCUGACUUUUCCACGACAAAGUUCUCCUGAAAUGGACCUCGCCAAACUCUAAUUGUCAUCUAAUUGGAAUAAUUGAUAGCAAAUUACAGGCAUUGCUGCCCCUAUUCUCUCCAGCAGCAGCUAUUUUGGAGUUGAAUUCUGCCUUUCAUAAUUCUACUUCUACUACUGCCCACGCGAGGACGAAGAAGUGGAGCGGCGGUACGGCGCCACUGUUCAGGGCUUUGAGGAAGGCGAUGGAUGCGGACCAAAGGACUUCCAGCCACCGGAGUGGGACGACAGAUGGAGCCGUUUGGUUUCCUACCAAGAACCGCAGACUUGGAGGUCGGCGCUCGCCUGGGAUGUGAUAAUUCACACCGAUAUACUAGUUUUGCGACUGAAGCCACCAAAUGCAAACAUCUCCAGCUGAAGAGAAACCACAAACCUACGGCGCCGCAACGCAGCUGCUGUCUCUAAGAAGUGCGGCAGCACGGAGAGAAAAGGCUUGUUUGCUGAGAGCUGGCUGGCCGGAGCCCGUUCGGAUGAACACGCCGCGCGUUGGUAUUCGGCCAUGAUGCCCAUGACUCAACAGGGAGCGGAGAGGUCAGCGGCACGUCCCCGUUUAAACUUGAAUAUUGCAUGAGCAGUUCUCGGGGUGGAGGGAGAGAUUAUUGCGUUUGGGAUGUGUUGUGAAAAUAAGCAAAAUGAAUGCAUUUGGAAUACCAACAGGACCAGUGAUGAACGUGCACUGCAAAACUGCUGUAAAAGAAAUACAAUGCAAAUAAGUCCAUUUCUUUAGCAAAAGUUCAUGGCGAGUUCAUCUGUGUAUAGUCUUGUCCACCAGCUCUCCAAAAAACGCAUUCUGUGCUUUUUACGUUCACAUACAAUUUGAUAUUCAUCGACAUAAUUCAUUCAGUAUGAUUAAUUAAUCCAUUUUAGCUGUUGCUUAUAAUUAUAAUAUAAUUAGUUAUAAUAUUCCAAACCUACAAACAUUAAUUCAGCCUUCUAAACAAGACACCCAAUUGAUGGUUUGCAUAACUCAUCCACAGUAGUCAGUAGUUAGGAGAAAGAUGUUGCUCUAGGAGGGUCAUGAGGUUCAUCUUAUGGGCUCUCUGCCAUUAAAAUAGGAUGAAAUAAUGAAACGCAAAAGGAGGCGUGAAAGCUGUACGUGCACGCGCGCCCACACGGCUCUGCACGACAUCUGCUUACUCUGCAAGCAACUUGUCAUAUGAGAAUGUGAGAUCAGAGGGGAGCGAAAUAAACAUUCAUGCAACGUGUUGGUUUCUUAAGAAACAAACCCUGAAUGUUUCAGAGGCAGUGACGUGUGUGUAUGUGUGUGUGUGUGUGUGUCUGUGUGUGUGUGUGUGUGUGUGAUGCCGUACACUUUGACUCGCCGCUGCAUUUUUAAUAUUAAUGUUUCUAUCUGUGAGACAAACUCAUUUUAGCUCCUUCUCUCUCCCAGCAGACGCUGCUCCCCGCGGGGGUUCGGGGGCCCGAGUGUAAUAGUCGUGUGUUUUGGAAACGCGCCUUUCAAAGGCGUGUUUUUGGCCACCGCCAAACAAUCCGGAUCGACUAUUGUCCUCCGCUUGUUCAUUAUGGAUGAAGUAUAACUAACUCGCUGGCGCGCUGAGUCAUAAAUAAAGCUGCAGCACACUUUAUUAUUACCCACUGAGCACGCUGACAGGCCUUUGACGGCACAUUAUUCCUCACAUUUUCUACCUUUCCAAAUGCUCUAUGAAACAUUUUAUUAAUGGGGAUCGCUGAUCGCCUGGUAGUUUUGAAAGGAUUAUAGAACCAGUUUCUGUGCCGUGGAAAGAAAAGUAAAGUUUUCAAAAGAGAAAAGGAAACACAACAUUCUUAUGCAUCAUUCCUUCAUGUAUUUCUUCAGCAUAAUAAGAAUCUGGUCGAGAUUAAAAACCUAAAACAAAGGACCUCCUUUAUCUCUUGUUACCUUGGCCACCAGGGGCUUGUAUAUAAAAGCCUAAGAGGCAAUUGAGCUGUUUAAUAUCAUGCAAUAAUCAGCAUGAUAAAGUCUAUUAAAUAUCGCGAGCCGUCCUGAUGAGGCCAUUAAUCAAGCAAGUUAAAGACUUAAUUAGCACACAUUGAUACGUUUACACACUUCACAUUCAACCCGGCUACGUCCUAAAUAUGUCAAUUAACCUGACCAUUGCGCAGAUUCGGCCGCGACGAUCUUCAAAAGCUCGGAUCGGAUCAGUCGAUCCGUCACCGGGGGAAGUUUUCUACACGGCCACCGGAGCUCCGUCCUCGUGUGCGAUAACGUCCCGCAGUCGGCGCACGCAGGGCCGCAGCCUCGUAAACACACGCCAGUGAUACGACGCCGGCUUCACGGCCAAAUGUGUGAAAUUUGGCUUGAUUGGUCUGCCUGCCUUUUUGCCCGCCGAUGCAAAAACAACUACAUUGUUAAUUUAAGCGACAACAACGUAAAAAAAACGCAGACACAAUGAAUAUAAUGGAGAACUUGAUGCAUCGUGGCCCAAAUGUCUCGUUAGCAAUGGGGGCUCUCAGCUGAUCCCUCGCUUUCAUCCAGACUGAAACAACUGAACAUCAACUGGAUGGAUUGCGAUGAUGUGUAAAUACAAGACGUAAUCUUCAUCAUCAUCUUGUUUGGUUCAUUAGCAAAUACCUGCCACACUCAGCUUGACCUGUCAGCGCUAAUUAGCGAAUGUUAGCGGGCUGAACGGGAGACUCGACAUCUGCAUUGUGGCCUCGCCGUGCGCGUGACUUCAGCCAUCGGUUCAAAGCACGGCUGCAUUGACUAAUUCUGUCCAACUGAAGUAUUAUAACACUAAACAAAUUGGCAGUAUUGAAUUAACAUUAUGGGCCACACUCGAACCACUCUGAAGGCGCUCAGUGUGUUUUUCAUUAUUGUUCCUGGGAUUUAUAAUUUAGAUGAUAUCAAUCUGUUUAACAUUUGACCUUGGUAAUGUUCUCACAAGGCAGGUUCAAUGAAACCUUUUCUUUUAUUUAAGAGAAUUAAACAAGUUGACAUUAUAAACCAGUAAAUGAUAAUCGGUUCAAUUUAAAUGGACAAAUAUUAAAUAUGGCCCCGAACAUUUAUGAAACUCUACAGAUAUAGAGACAGAUAUAUACAGUAUAUACAGAGAUAUACUGUAAUGUGAUGUCGCAGCAUGUGUUCUUAUUAAACAAUGGGCGAAACACAACACCUCAAAAAUACUCUGCUGUGAAGAUGAAAUAUUAAUGUGAUCGCCUUGUUCCUUUUCUUUGUCCUGUCUUCUCUUUCAUUCUCCUUCACAAAAUGUCAAACAACCAAAUCUAAAGUGGCGACAUGAAUGUAACUAAAAAAAACGCAAGGUUGCAUUAUCAAACCACCAAAUACACAAUAAGUACACUUUAUUUUGUUAAAAGACCCACUCUUCAUCAUCUUGAUGUGUUCUUCUUGCUUAUUAAGUUAAAUAUAAUCAUCUCAUCCUUUAUUUCAAUAGGGCUUAAAUGCAUUCGAUCCAGACUUUCGGUAGUUUUUUGCAGUGCAGGUUCACGUGAGAUUCAAUAUAAGUUAAUUACUGUCUCCUUGAGCCCCCCCUUGCCUUCCCACCUGAAGCUGAUGAAAGACCGCUCAUAGAUUUCAAAGGAGGGUUUUGUGACGUCACCUGGGAGCCAGCCGGACAUAUUAGGGACAGCGGGGUCGGUUGGAGCCAUUAACAUCUAUCCUCUCCGAUAGGUUUAGCACUUAGGCUUAGGGGUGGGUGUGGGUUGAGAAAAGAUGAAGUCAGUAAUAAUUCCAGUACCCUCAAAGUGAUACUGAUGUUAAUAAAGUGCUCCAUUCGAUAGCUGAUCCCAGCGGGUGGCUAAUAGCCGCCGCGCUGCGCCGCGCUGCAGAGUGCUCGCUCAGCAGAAGGCCGACUCAACUCCUCUGUUUGUUUGUUGGUCGCAAAAAGGAUGGACGGCAGGAAUCAUUUGACUGGAGGGAUUUCACCACCACGUGGCACUGGUUUAUUUUGACCGAGAUCUUCCUUUUCUUGCAGGUUGAGGGGAAGCAUGAGGUGUUAUACUCACAAAUGAUGGCGUGCAAUGCAGGCAAGCGAGAACAUCUCCUGCAAACAUCCAAAACACAACAUCGAGCAGCAUCAUUUUAACUGAGAGUGGAAUUCACUCAGCGUAAUUAACCGUGUCCGUGGGAAGUGUGAUUAAACAGCUGGGAUUGUAGAUGCUGUAAAAGUAAAGACAAAACACAACAGUUUUCUCUUUCAACUGAAACGUAGGAUUUCCUUUCUCUUACUGUCUCAAAGGAAAACUACCAUGACAAUGUUUAAUGUUAUCAUUAAAGCUGCAUUAUUAAGCUUGACAAACUAGUUCAGCAUCAGCUGUGCCGAGUAGCUUGUUUAUUUGUUGACUUACUAAGGAUGCCCGUAAACAGGACACCAGUGUGAGCGCUAAUCUUUAAGAUUAGAUAUUAACACAAAGUCAAACAAAACUAACGAGCUCAAAGCUUUGCUACUAUUUAUGACAUAUGAGCAUUUAGAUGCUGCUUCCAAUGUUAGUCAUGCAAAUUAAACAGAAAUGUUACUACCGUGACGUGAGAAUAAUUAAAACAUAAAAGUGGGCUUGUUGAGAUAAUAUUGAUUUGAUUCAAAUCGUUUCAAAGUAACGAGUAAUGAUCCAAUAGCAAUUUUCCGACGCUGCUGUAAAUGUUGAAUCGAUACUUGAUAAGAAAACAUUUUCCAUUGUCGUCUAAGAAAAUCCCUCAACCUGAAUCUGGCAACGUAGUGGUUUGGAUUUUUACCUAAAACGUUUUUUCCUUCCUGCCAAACUGUCGGACAAAAGCCAAGCAGCAGCCCCCCCCCCCCCCCCCUACAAACAGGCCGUCGACUGCCGCCGCUUUGUACCUCGCCUCACCUGCUCAGCAUCACGUGGGCUGGACGCUCUGCACAGUGUGGACACCCAGCCGGGCUGCUGCAUCCCGGUCUUGGUCGCUUUAUCCCGCAAAAACCAUUUGCUUGGGCGCCACGCGGGAGCUUCGGGUCCCCGAGGGUCUUUGUAUGGAACAAACCAGAAAAAGUAGAUAAAAAAAAAAAAACUAUGAAAACGAGCCGAAACGCAGCUGGUAGCGACGCUGAAUGAAACUGUUUAUCCUCCAACCAAAGCAAUUGUCUGGGGUUUGAACAAGCCAGCUGUGUUUUUAUUUAACUUUAUUGUGCGACUCCGUGUGUGUGUGUGCGCGUCUGGUUUUGUUUGCUCCACGGCGGCUUGCGGUGACAAAAGGACACUUUUUUUUUUGAGUUCUGCCAGGGUGAUUAUAACACACACACAAAGACCCAUAUGCAUGCCGACUCGCACACACAAACACGAACGUGACAGCCGGCUUCGGACCAGUCUGACUGACAGGAACUGAGAUACUAUUUCUGCUCACUCAGACAGAGACGCAUCCCAACAAUCACCUUGAGACGGCGCCGGUGGACGAGGCCGGAUUAGAUGUGCAGCAGAUAAAAGCCGAGCAUCUAAUUAGCACAAUGAGGAUUUCUGCCGUCCGGCUGAGUCAGCCGCCGUGUCGUCAACCUUUUGUUCCGGGGGAGGGAAAGUGUUUCCUGGGAUACGCGUCGGUGUGUUUAGAGAGGUUUGCGCAGUGUGCACAAGUAGGAACAUCGGCGUGCGUUUUGUGUGUGUUUUGGUGUGUGCGGGCUCGACACAAUCAUUCACUAAAAUACUGAAUACAAAUGAUUUCUGUUUCAAUGCCGUUCGCCCACGUGCAGCAAAUACAAGUUGUCUGUGUUUGCAUUUUUAUUCUAAUGCGGACCAUUUUACGAGUGGAUGGAGAAAUUUGUUUUUUGGGGGGAGGAUUCAGCACAUACCUUUUAUGUCUAACAUUGCGAGCGUGCAGAGAUGCGUGUGGAAUGUUGAAUACCUCAAACUCCUUUGGUCAUCGGUGAGUUUCUAAAUCAUGUAUUCAGGAAAUGAUGUAAACAUGACUACUGCCCCCACCAGCCUGAAUGUAAUUAUACGCAUUUGACAGCAAACGUAAAAAGGUGACAUUCCUGCCGGCAGCUGUGAGGUGAUAGACAGAAAACACGUAGGCGUGAAAUAAUAUCGAGAAUAAGAAACUCGACUCCUAAUGCAAGAACAAUAAGACCGUAACUAAACUAAACUAAAUGAAGAGUUCCUUGAGAUUGAUAAAAAAGAUCAUUUACAGGCGCUUAAGAAACUCUUUGCAGAAUAGUCAACAAAGGUCCUCCAGAAAGAUCUAAUUCUGUACAGUAUGCAUGUUUAAAGCGGAGAUGAGAGACGGAGGCGGCUGCAGGGCGGCAGUCACAUACCAUCAUAAGCCAUAUAGCUUAUCAUGAUGCAUAGCAAGGGCAUCCGUGAUAAAUCAAAACCAUUUUCAUGUCUUGGCCGUUGCCAAGCCGCAUCCAAUAAAAGACCAUCGCUCAUUAGCUCUGCGUUUAAUCAUGGUCGCCAGACAUUUCUAAUCCUUCUCCAGUGCAUCACGAAGACGUGCUGCAAACACAAAAAGCCAGCAGACAGACUCGACAAAAGACUCUGAACCUUUUCUGUGGCUUUGGUGCAGUGGGGGGUGGAGAGGGGGGCUCACAGCCCGAAAGCCGAAAUUAAAUUGCCAACUUCGUUUGCUUCUUUUAUUAGAAAACCAGCAUCCAAAAGGUAUUAAUCACAACUUCAGAUCUCUGGCAGAUUUGUCUGAUAAAGCACUAAUCUGUUGUCGUCUCGGUGUUCAUAACGGGAAAAGUCUCAGGAGCAGCACGUCGGAUAAAAGCCAUCACAAAGCGAUCAAGCACAAGAGGAAGCAGAGGCGCUUUUCUUCUUAAGUGAGAGGGGGGGAAAA